Molecule: unclassified non-coding RNA, 165 nt
Filed under: soil metagenome
Description: partial internal transcribed spacer 1
Source: RNAcentral
CCAAAACUUAGCUGCUCCAGUUCAGGCUGGUUGCACGCUUCAACCCUUUGUGAACCAAAAACCUUACGCUUCGGCAGCUGGUUCCAGCUGUAAGCCUGCGAUGGCACCCAUUUAAACCUGUCGUUAAAUAUCUUGUCUGAACUAAAUAUUUUCGAAUGAAAAUUA